AUUGAACGCUGGCGGCAGGCUUAACACAUGCAAGUCGAGCGGAGCGAGGGUGCUUGCACCUUAGCUUAGCGGCGGACGGGUGAGUAAUGCUUAGGAAUCUGCCUAUUAGUGGGGGACAACAUUCCGAAAGGAAUGCUAAUACCGCAUACGCCCUACGGGGGAAAGCAGGGGGUCUUCGGACCUUGCGCUAAUAGAUGAGCCUAAGUCGGAUUAGCUAGUUGGUGGGGUAAAGGCCUACCAAGGCGACGAUCUGUAGCGGGUCUGAGAGGAUGGUCCGCCACACUGGGACUGAGACACGGCCCAGACUCCUACGGGAGGCAGCAGUGGGGAAUAUUGGACAAUGGGCGGAAGCCUGAUCCAGCCAUGCCGCGUGUGUGAAGAAGGCCUUUUGGUUGUAAAGCACUUUAAGUGAGGAGGAGGCUACUUAGAUUAAUACUCUGGGAUAGUGGACGUUACUCGCAGAAUAAGCACCGGCUAACUCUGUGCCAGCAGCCGCGGUAA
This 501-nucleotide ribosomal RNA is filed under the name uncultured bacterium. RNAcentral's name for it is "partial 16S ribosomal RNA". It matches the Rfam family "Bacterial small subunit ribosomal RNA", at positions 30 to 523 of the family's 1533-position model. The record is from RNAcentral.